GGGUUAGAGAAGAGAGGAAAAGGAAGAAAGAAAGGGGGCAGGGAAAUAUAGAUUCAAUGCUUUUGUUUUGUUUCUGGGCUGCUUGCUAUCAGCAAAGUAGAGAGAUUUAACGGAUCUUGCCGAGAAUGCAAGCCUCAUUCCAAGGAAGCCAGAGCUCAGAAGACAUGGAACAAAUACAAUGAAAACAUAACUUGAGUGUGAUUUCAUUAUGAAGUCAGAUGGAAUGAGGAGUGUGUAAAUCCAGAAUCAGAAUCCCAGCGACGAAGCUUUUCUUGCUCUGUUACCUUGGAAAAUGCUUUGAACCAGACCAGAUAAGAAAAGUAAAAGUCUGGAGUGUAAUCCUUCCAAUUGUCUUUUGGCUUCUCUUCUACUUCUACAAAAAGUUCAACAAGUCGGUGGGCAGAAGUCUAAAAUCAAGGUGUCAGCAGUGUGGAAUCCUUCUGGAGGCUUUGAGAAAUUAGAAUUUGAAACAACGGAAAGAGAGAAAUUUUAGGUUAGUAGCUAAAUCCCCAAGGAUACUAAUUAGAGAAAGAUGUUGGAAUUGCCUUAAUGAGUCACUGCCAACGCAAGUCCUAAGGAAGCAAAGACUGUGAGUAAGCAAAGGUAGCCAGCUGCUGGGAAGAGGACAAUAGAGGAAAAGGUCAGAGGGACUUUAAAAGACUGACUGUGGGCUCCCUGAGGGAAGGAGGGAUGGAGAGAGUAUCGGGUCCUAUAGAAUACCUUAAUUGUUUUUAUGACUUCUCUUUUCCAUAUCCAGUUCACAUGUACUCCUUUCUGUGCAUUAAAUUGAGUUUCUAUUGGCUUCUUUGUAACAAAAAGAACUGAACAGAAACACAUAUCUAUUGGACAAAGAGCAAUAAAAUGAUAUAAUAACUGUAUCUGAGGGUUUUUUCAUUUUAAAGAAUAAAACAAAACAAAAAUCAAACAAAAAAAACCAUCUAUCUGAUGUUGCUCCACUCCCAACAGCAUCACUAACC
This 977-nucleotide long non-coding RNA is filed under the name Homo sapiens (human). RNAcentral's name for it is "HSALNT0354561". The record is from RNAcentral. Lineage: Eukaryota; Metazoa; Chordata; Mammalia; Primates; Hominidae.